AAAGGAGCUCCAGCAUAUUUUGCUUAUAAGACACUACCCACAGGUAUGCAAUAUCCCUGUAAAUUUUCCCACCUCACAUCUUAUGAGAAAACAAUGGCUCUAGUUCAUUAUUUAAAGGAGUCAGUGUGAAUUCAAGUCAUUUCAUAUCCUGCUAUCAUUUGCUCAGAGAUCUUCUGCAAUGGGUCGUAUGUAGGAAGAAAUGCAGGGGUUGCACUGAUGAAGUUUAUUUAAAGRAACACAUACAAGAUAGAUCUGAAUGGCAACAUCGUUUAUGUAAGGGGAAACAGAAACCAUAAGUGCAUCACUUCAUUCAGGUGGACAAAAUACACUCUGGUACUCAACAAAGCCUUUUGCCUCACCUCUUACCACUGUCCCCUCCUUCACUGUCAUCCAGUCACAAUGACUUAUUUCCUGGUCUUUCAACUUGCCAAACACACUCCCUUCUUAGGGUCUUUGUUUUUGCUAGUCCCUCUACCUUAAACUCUUCGUGGAAUGUCACAUUCUCAUUCUACAGAACUUUGCUGAAAUGUUGUUAACUCUAWCAAGUCUUUUUUGGCCUCCAUAAAAUAACGUCCCCCUCACUUUUUACUCCUUUAGUAUUAUUUUUCUUAGGGGCAAUUACACACCCAGUACAUUACACAUUCAAAGCAUACUUUGUCACUUGUGUGAAACGACAGGCUCCAACCUGACAAGGAAAUGCGGGUUGCCUUUAUCUAGGACCCAGUAGGCAACAGGUAAAUGUUUCAAUGAAUGAAUAAGGCUCUUAACAGAAGUUUUCUCUUCUUUCGCUGUGAGCCUAAUUCUACCCUCUCCCUUUUUCAGCAGAGGUGGCUCACUGGAGUCAGGGGUUCAUUCGGGAUUGUAUUGCCACCAAACAGCGCCUGUGAUCCAGUUGUUCCGACCCUUGAGGCCCAGAGCCUGGGUAAGGACGGGUCUGCAGUCCCYGGAACGUGAAAGCGAAAGCAGAAGGGGACAACGUGCACUGGAGGGGAAACUCUCCGUGCGGAGGCAGCCCUUCCUCCUUUGGUGCCAGCCUGCGUGCAGUGGGGCCUUCCCAGCCCGGCUGACUCAUUCCCAGCCGCCUUCACGGCGGGCGGCGGCCACAUACACGCCCAUCUGGGGAGUGCCGGGACCAGUGCUGACACCGAGCCCCUGCCAGGCCCCGACGCUCAGCGAGCCGCCGCUACCUUAACUUCCUCGCGCGCUCACGCCGGGGGUUGCCCCGGGAAUCUCCACGCGCGCACACCAGCUUCCCGAGAGGCCUCGGUCCUGCGUGGCCCACCCUUUCCAAACCCCGGCGAGCGCCAGGAAAAGCGCAGCCCGCCGAGCGGCGCACGCGCAGUCAGGAGAGAGUCCCGCUGCCUCCUCGGCCCUGCCAGGAGCCUGCCUUAGUCCGCCGCCAACUGGCGGUUCGACUCGAGGCCAACGCGGAGGCUGAGUCCGACGCAAACAGGGCGUCCUAAGCAGUGUCGCCUACGGCGCUGAGAAGACGGUGUGGCUCGGGAAAGGGUGGAGACAACGUCWGUGACGGGCUUCCCGGCUGCCCAAAGUGGGAGUGGUGUGGGCUGCAGGAAGGAGAGAGGAAGAAGAGCCGAAGGGGGCAGCAGCGGCCGCCGCUAACGGCCUCCYGCGGCGCUGACAGGCUAGGCGGGCGCCCGGCGCUCUCCGGAGUUCGCGCCGCCGUGUCAGCCACCUCAGGCCCGUGGGCCCCUGAGCCUGGUCUUGCGGCACCCGUCGGGGCGGAGGGCUGCCGCGGCGCGGGGACAGGCCGGGUCCUCGCCGCCGAGGGAUGUGAGUGGGAGCCGAGCCCGCACGGGAGGGCCCGCGAGGGCCCAGCCUGGCGGACGCUCGGACCCGUGUUGGGUCCCGGGCUUCGCAGACCUUGGCCCACCGGAGGCACCGUGAAGGAGCAACUCUUUAGGGCUUGAGGACAGUCCCUUGUCGCCCGAUCCGCGCAGCCGGUUUCAGAAGCAGGCAACGGGAACAAGAUGUGAACUGUUUCUCUUCUGCAGAAAAAGAGGCCCUUCCUCCUCCUCCCGCGACAGUGGUUAUGAUAUCCUGGCUGCUGUCCUCUAUUGCUGCAGUAAGGGCAAUGUUCUGAGAAAGACUCUGCAUGGGAAUGGCUUGCCUUAUGAUGACAGAAAUGGAAACAACAUCCACAUCUCCUGUACAUCAGAAUGGUGAUAUUCCUGGAAACACUAAUUCUCUAAAGCAUAUAGAUCCAAUUCUUCAAGUGUAUCUUUACCAUUCCCUUGGGAAAGCUGAGGGAGAUUAUCUGAAGUUUCCAAGUGGAGAGUACAUUGCAGAGGAAAUAUGUGUUGCUGCUUCUAAAG
Molecule: non-coding RNA, 2333 nt
Organism: Urocitellus parryii (Arctic ground squirrel)
Lineage: Eukaryota; Metazoa; Chordata; Mammalia; Rodentia; Sciuridae
Source: RefSeq, a predicted model, not a curated record